UUUCUUAUAUAAGUAUUUAUGCAUAAAAUAAUUCUAUUACAAACGAUAAAAUAAAGUCAAAAUCUUUUGAUAUAAGUUAUUUCCAUAAAUUAUCUCGCAGAGCUUAUGAAUAUCGGCUUAAAACAACUUAUAGACAUGUCAAAAACUGCCACAAACAAUUUAACAAGUGCUUAUAUUAAUAUAUAAACUCAAAUAAGUCAAUCUGCACAUUCCUAAAACUCUUACAACUCCCAUGAAAUCCCCAAAGUUUGCAUUUAAAUUCCCUACUUUUCACAUAUUUCAGCAGCAAAGUCAAGAAAAACAAAAAAAAAAUAACAUGAAAUUCCAUUUUAUGUUCCAAACUUUAUCUCUCUCUCUAGAGCAAGAAAGUAAAGAAUCUGAAGAAAACCCAUGAAAGCAAACAACAAAAAGACUGAACCUGUGCGACCACCAGCACCAGUAACAAGCACAGAACUCUUUGAAUUUUCAGCAGCCAUAGCAACAACAAGACUUGUUCUGAUUCCAACCCUUUUCAGACCCUUAUAAUUUCUCAACGUUGCAAGUGAAAUCAAAGAAGAAGAAGAAAGCCUUAAUGAAGGAGAGGAAACAGGUAAAGGAAGUGACUUUGCCACAUAGCAAUAUUUAUGGCAUUGGUUGGGAAAAAGUGUGGUGGAUGAAACAAAAGGGACAUGUGUAGCCAUACCAAUCAGAGUAGUUGACACAGUUUCAUUGUUAUUAAUAUUAUGGAGAAAAUGGAUAAGUUUUGAGGUGAGUGAUGAAUGAAACGUUUCAAUUCAACAAUAUUAUAUAUAGAAUGUUGUUGUUUUCACAUUUAUAAUAGAACUGAGACUAGACAUUGUUGUUUCUGAAUCUGGUUUGUGCCUCUGAUGUUGGUGAAACACUUUAUAUGGUUUUUGAUGCUAUUUAUGUUUGCUUUCAGAUUUUCUUAUCCGUUUACCU
This 939-nucleotide long non-coding RNA is filed under the name Cicer arietinum (chickpea). Its description in RNAcentral is "long non-coding RNA (CARI_LNC003729)". Lineage: Eukaryota; Viridiplantae; Streptophyta; Magnoliopsida; Fabales; Fabaceae. The record is from RNAcentral.